CCUACGGGGGGCUGCAGUGGGGAAUAUUGGACAAUGGGGGCAACCCUGAUCCAGCCAUGCCGCGUGUGUGAAGAAGGCCCUCGGGUUGUAAAGCACUUUCAGUGAGGAAGAACGCCUGGUGGUUAAUACCCAUCAGGAAAGACAUCACUCACAGAAGAAGCACCGGCUAACUCCGUGCCAGCAGCCGCGGUAAUACGGAGGGUGCGAGCGUUAAUCGGAAUUACUGGGCGUAAAGCGCGCGUAGGUGGCUUGAUAAUCCGGUUGUGAAAGCCCCGGGCUCAACCUGGGAACGGCAUCCGGAACUGUCAAGCUAGAGUGCAGGAGAGGAAGGUAGAAUUCCCGGUGUAGCGGUGAAAUGCGUAGAGAGCGGGAGGAAUACCAGUGGCGAAGGCGGCCUUCUGGACUGACACUGACACUGAGGUGCGAAAGCGUGGGUAGCAAACAGGAUUAGAUACCCCAGUAGUC
RNAcentral lists this ribosomal RNA (465 nucleotides) under Vreelandella stevensii. Its description in RNAcentral is "partial 16S ribosomal RNA". It matches the Rfam family "Bacterial small subunit ribosomal RNA", at positions 338 to 795 of the family's 1533-position model. Lineage: Bacteria; Pseudomonadati; Pseudomonadota; Gammaproteobacteria; Oceanospirillales; Halomonadaceae. The record is from RNAcentral.